This 363-nucleotide small RNA is filed under the name uncultured Citrobacter sp. RNAcentral describes it as "cspA thermoregulator". It matches the Rfam family "cspA thermoregulator", at positions 1 to 365 of the family's 428-position model. Lineage: Bacteria; Pseudomonadati; Pseudomonadota; Gammaproteobacteria; Enterobacterales; Enterobacteriaceae. The record is from RNAcentral.
UCGGUUUGAAGAACAGACGAUAUACAAAGUAGUUUACUAAAGCAGUUCUCAUUUCAGGUGUUAUUCACUUAUUCCUUCUUUGAGUCUCUCCAAUAAGUACUAAGUAAUUUCUGUAAUAAAAACCAUCUAAGCCGAAAGGCUCAAUUUAAGGAAUAUAAAAUGUCAAAUAAAAUGACUGGUUUAGUAAAAUGGUUUAACGCUGAUAAAGGUUUCGGUUUCAUUACUCCUGCUGACGGUAGCAAAGAUGUUUUUGUGCAUUUCUCAGCUAUUCAGAAUGAUAAUUACCGUACCCUGUUCGAAGGACAGAAAGUCACAUUCUCAAUAGAGGAUGGCGCUAAAGGCCCUGCGGCAGCGAAUGUCGUU